RNAcentral lists this ribosomal RNA (468 nucleotides) under uncultured bacterium. RNAcentral's name for it is "partial 16S ribosomal RNA". It matches the Rfam family "Bacterial small subunit ribosomal RNA", at positions 28 to 507 of the family's 1533-position model. The record is from RNAcentral.
GACGAACGCUGGCGGCGUGCUUAACACAUGCAAGUCGAACGGAAAGGCCCUGCUUUUGUGGGGUGCUCGAGUGGCGAACGGGUGAGUAACACGUGAGUAACCUGCCCUUGACUUUGGGAUAACUUCAGGAAACUGGGGCUAAUACCGGAUAGGAGCUCCUGCUGCAUGGUGGGGGUUGGAAAGUUUCGGCGGUUGGGGAUGGACUCGCGGCUUAUCAGCUUGUUGGUGGGGUAGUGGCUUACCAAGGCUUUGACGGGUAGCCGGCCUGAGAGGGUGACCGGCCACAUUGGGACUGAGAUACGGACCAGACUCCUACGGGAGGCAGAAGUGGGGAAUAUUGCACAAUGGGCGGAAGCCUGAUGCAGCAACGCCGCGUGCGGGAUGACGGCCUUCGGGUUGUAAACCGCUUUCGCAUGUGACGAAGCGUGAGUGACGGUAAUGGGUAAAGAAGCACCGGCUAACUACGUG